CAGUAGCCGCGGUAAUACGAAGGGGGCUAGCGUUGUUCGGAUUUACUGGGCGUAAAGCGCACGUAGGCGGACUUUUAAGUCAGGGGUGAAAUCCCGGGGCUCAACCCCGGAACUGCCUUUGAUACUGGAAGUCUUGAGUAUGGUAGAGGAGAGUGGAAUUCCACGUGUAGCGGUGAAAUGCGUAGAUAUCGUGAGGAAGACCAGCGGCGAAGGCGGCUCUCUGGACAGUUCCUGACGCUGAUGCACGAAGGCCAGGGGAGCAAACGGGAUUAGAGACCCGAGUAGUCCCUGUCUCUUAUAC
Molecule: ribosomal RNA, 301 nt
Filed under: uncultured bacterium
Lineage: Bacteria
Description: partial 16S ribosomal RNA
Rfam family: Bacterial small subunit ribosomal RNA
Source: RNAcentral